CGAGAUGAUGGCUGCUCUUUGAGGGGCUGAGCUCAGUUUGGGUGCUGUAGCAGACUUGUCAUUGCUGUGUUUACACUGGACAGGCAAGUUCUCCUAAGCCCCAGUUGGCGAGACAGCCUCUAUAACUGGCAGGCAAGUCGCCCGCAAAUCGCUAUCAGGACAAUUGGACAAAACGAGAACAGGAUAACAGGUCCUCACCCUGUUCUGAAUUUAGCUUCUUACUGUGUGCAGACAUGGCAGCAGCAACUGUAGUUGAAGCUGAUCCGACGGCGACCGACGGGGGCACAACGUUUUCUGAGGUCCACAAUUCGACCUGGACAGACAAUCAAUUGCGAAAGUACCCUUUUCAAACGAGAGCUAUCCCCCGAUUAUCUCAUACAGACCCACGCGCCGAGAUCCUAAUAGAUAAUGAGGAGCCUGUUGUCCUUACUGAUACCAACUUGGUAUUUCCUGCGCUGAAGUGGGAUGUAAACUUUCUGCAGGACAACAUUGGGAAUGGAGAUUUCUCAGUCUAUAUUGCUGAAAACUAUAAAUUCCUAUAUUAUGAUGAAAAGAAAAUGGCUAAUUUUGAGAAUUUUGUACCAAAGUCCCAACGAGUUGACAUGAAAUUUUCUGAAUUUGUUGACAAAAUGCAACAAACUCAACAACAUGGAGGAGAGGAAAGGGUGUACUUGCAGCAGACCUUAAAUGACACUGUUGGAAGAAAUAUUGUUGUAGAUUUCUUGGGUUUCAAUUGGAACUGGAUCAAUAAGCAGCAGGCCAAGCGGAAUUGGGGACAGUUAACUUCAAACCUUUUGCUCAUAGGCAUGGAAGGCAAUGUGACGCCAGCACAUUAUGAUGAACAACAGAACUUUUUUGCACAAAUUAGAGGUCAUAAGAGGUGUAUCCUGUUUCCGCCUGACCAGUUUGAAAGUCUUUAUCCCUUUCCUGUUCAUCAUCCCUGUGACCGACAGAGCCAGGUCGACUUUGAAAACCCUGACUAUGAAAAAUUCCCAAAUUUCAAAAAUGUAAUUGGAUAUGAAGCUGUUGUGGGCCCUGGGGAUGUGUUGUACAUCCCAAUGUACUGGGCGCUCCUACUCCACGGAGGAUAGAGUACCCUCUUAAGGCUCACCAGAAAGUGGCCAUCAUGAGGAACAUUGAGAAGAUGCUGGGAGAAGCUUUGGGAGACCCUCAUGAGGUUGGGCCAUUACUGAAUAUGAUGAUCAAAGGGCGAUAUGAUCAAGGUCUUAGUUAGUUUACUCUCCACUUAACUGGAUGCUGCUGGAUAUCUUUGGUUGCGUGGUCUGACUGCAGAACUGCCAACUGCUUCAGUACUUCAAGCAACCAAUACUUGCUUAUGGCCUUUUAUUCUUUCUGGCUUAAAACUGGGAAAUUGUUGACUUUUAGGAGAGGUUUUUUAACACAGAGCAGUCAACCUAGUUUUGGUUGAAAUGGAAAGAAUUUAAAGUACCAAAAGCUUAUAAACUAGUGGAUUUCAUUAGAGCCCUGGCCUCUUGCUUCAGUAUAACCUGGCACAGUCAUUGGGUUCAUUUUGUUUCAGAGAGUUUGUUCUACUUCUGAAAUUUACUUUGAUGACAUUCAUUCUUUGAUUAUAAAUGAGUUUACAAGCUUGGCGACCAUGGAUAUAUAGUAUAGUAACAUGGUUUAUAAGAAUGGCCAAAUAUUGUGUUUUACAAACACUGAAGGAGUAUGAGAUCAUUUGUUAGAAGUUGGUUGAUUAAAAUGUAAUUGCUGAACAUUUCUUGUUUGAACAGAUUUGAUGGUAUUUUUAUAUAAUUAUUUUGUGUACACACUUGCUAAAUUUUUAUGUUGUGUUUAUUGUGAUAUGUUUUUUUCCCCUGAACGUGGUACAUCAACAGUCAGUGCACUCAACUUUGUUUUAACUAUGAAAUAGUUAAAAAUGAAGCGCAAGUGUCUUAAAUGUUGAAAAUGAAGCGCAAGUGUCUUAAAUGGCACAGAUAAACACAAGGAGCUUCUUAUUAGUUACUUAUUAGUACUGAAUAUUCAGUCAAUAUUUUAGUUUAUGGUUUCCCUGUUUUGCUCAUAUUGAUAAUGUGGUGUAGCAUUUCUAUAAAAUGCAUUGAACAAUACCCAAUUAUGUGUGGUCAUAAUAAUGUUUGUUCAAAGCCAGAAUCAAAUUCAGUGUAUAAUCAACCAUUUCAAUUUUGUCAUGGCUUUGUUGACUAAGUUUCACUUGUUUCUGUUUUGCUGUGUUGUAUAAAAGGGAUGUCUGUGUCAACAUUCAGGAAACAGCUGCACCUACAGGACAUUGUAUUGGUUAUUUUUUUUCACGAUAAUUGACCAGAACUCAUUGUAUGUUUUUGUUGGUCAAAUCCCACAUCCCACUGGUUGAUGUCCUUAGACCUGUUUUAUGUACAUAAACACAUAAUAUAUUUAAUAUUGUCUAUUAGAGGGCUGACAAUUAAAUAUGGUUAAAGUUGAAACCAUCCUCAUAGUAAACUUUACUGUGUGCCAAAUACUUUUUUCAAGCAUUUUGUUUUAUUUCUGAGAAUAAUCUUGACUUUUUUUUUGUACAAACUGCAAAUGGUUCCCAAAAACAAUACCACUUGAGAGUAAUGGAAAAGUCAAAUGCAUUUCUCUCUCCAUACAAAUGCACAUUUGCUGGUUAGACAGUCAUCUGGAAGACUUGUCCUCAGUUAUAUGGAGCAUAUAAGCACUUUUUGAAAUAUCUGAGGGCUUCUGUGUAGUUCUUGUCAAACAAAUAAAAAAUCAGGGUAUUUUCUUGCCUGAAUCAUG
RNA transcript from Alosa alosa (allis shad), 2757 nucleotides. It is a transcript of the gene named hypoxia inducible factor 1 subunit alpha inhibitor, with no coding region annotated. The record is from RefSeq and is a predicted model, not a curated record. The transcript is spliced from 7 exons. NCBI's taxonomy places the organism in Eukaryota, Metazoa, Chordata, Actinopteri, Clupeiformes, Clupeidae.